CAAGUCGAACGAGAAAGUGGAGCAAUCCAUGAGUACAGUGGCGUACGGGUGAGUAACACGUGGGUAAUCUACCUCUUAGUGGGGAAUAACCAGGGGAAACUCUGGCUAAUACCGCAUAAGCCUGAGAAGGGAAAGCAGCAAUGCGCUGAGAGAGGAGCCCGCGGCCGAUUAGCUAGUUGGUGGGGUAAGAGCCCACCAAGGCAGAGAUCGGUAGCCGGCCUGAGAGGGCACACGGCCACACUGGCACUGAAACACGGGCCAGACUCCUACGGGAGGCAGCAGUGGGGAAUCUUGCACAAUGGGGGAAACCCUGAUGCAGCGACGCCGCGUGAGCGAUGAAGCCCUUCGGGGUGUAAAGCUCUUUCGUCAGGGACGAUAAUGACGGUACCUGGAGAAGCAGCUGCGGCUAACUACGUGCCAGCAGCCGCGGUAAUACGUAGGCAGCAAGCGUUGUUCGGAGUUACUGGGCGUAAAGGGUGUGUAGGCGGUUCUUUAAGUUUGGUGUGAAAUCUCCCGGCUCAACUGGGAGGGUGCGCCGAAUACUGAGGGACUAGAGUACGGGAGAGGAAAGUGGAAUUCCUGGUGUAGCGGUGAAAUGCGUAGAUAUCAGGAGGAACACCGGUGGUUGUAGACGGCUUUCUGGACCGUAACUGACGCUGAGACACGAAAGCGUGGGUAGCAAACAGGAUUAGAUACCCUGGUAGUCCACGCCCUAAACGAUGCAUAUCUGGUGUGGGCAGUUCAUUCUGUCCGUGCCGGAGCUAACGCGUUAAAUAUGCCGCCUGGGGAGUACAGUCGCAAGGCUGAAACUCAAGGAAUUGACGGGGGCCCGCACAAGCGGUGGAGCAUGUGGUUCAAUUCGACGCACCGCGAAGAACCUUACCUGGGCUCGAACGGCUUCUCAACGCCGGUAGAAAAUACUGGUACCC
RNAcentral lists this ribosomal RNA (929 nucleotides) under uncultured Bacillota bacterium. Its description in RNAcentral is "bacterial SSU rRNA". It matches the Rfam family "Bacterial small subunit ribosomal RNA", at positions 58 to 1017 of the family's 1533-position model. Lineage: Bacteria; Bacillati; Bacillota. The record is from RNAcentral.